GGUUAAGCGACUAAGCGUACACGGUGGAUGCCCUGGCAGUCAGAGGCGAUGAAGGGCGUGCUAAUCUGCGAUAAGCGCCGGUAAGGUGAUAAGCGCCGGUAAGGUGAUA
This 109-nucleotide ribosomal RNA is filed under the name Salmonella enterica. RNAcentral's name for it is "partial 23S ribosomal RNA". It matches the Rfam family "Bacterial large subunit ribosomal RNA", at positions 1 to 112 of the family's 2925-position model. Lineage: Bacteria; Pseudomonadati; Pseudomonadota; Gammaproteobacteria; Enterobacterales; Enterobacteriaceae. The record is from RNAcentral.